AACGAACGCUGGCGGCAUGCCUAACACAUGCAAGUCGAACGAGACCUUCGGGUCUAGUGGCGCACGGGUGCGUAACGCGUGGGAACCUGCCCUUAGGUUCGGAAUAACUCCCCGAAAGGGGUGCUAAUACCGGAUAAUGUCUUCGGACCAAAGAUUUAUCGCCUUUGGAUGGGCCCGCGUUGGAUUAGCUAGUUGGUAGGGUAAAAGCCUACCAAGGCGACGAUCCAUAGCUGGUCUGAGAGGAUGAUCAGCCACACUGGGACUGAGACACGGCCCCGACUCCUACGGGCGGCAGCAUGGGGGAAUGUUUGACAAUGGGCGAAGCCCUGUUCCACCAAGGCCGGUGAAGUUGUGAAGGCUUUAGGUUUGAAAAGCUUUUUUUCCCGGGAUGGUAAUGACGGUACCGGGAAAAUAAGCCCCGGCUAACUCCCU
RNAcentral lists this ribosomal RNA (432 nucleotides) under uncultured bacterium. RNAcentral describes it as "partial 16S ribosomal RNA". It matches the Rfam family "Bacterial small subunit ribosomal RNA", at positions 29 to 506 of the family's 1533-position model. The record is from RNAcentral.